UUCCUGAGUGGAUAUAUAGGGAUAUUGAAUUAGGAAAGUCUAGAAGGCUUAUCGAGGAUGAGAUCAGCAAUGAGGAACAUGAGCUAGCAAAGAAGAUGGCUUUGGUUGGUUUGUGGUGUAUUCAGUCUUCUCCGUUGGAUCGCCCACCUAUGAAAUAGCAAAGAAGAUGGCUUUGGUUGGUUUGUGGUGUAUUCAGUCUUCUCCGUUGGAUCGCCCACCGAUGAACAGAGUUGUAGAGAUGAUGGAAGGAAGCUUGGAUGCUCUCGAAGUGCCUCCUAGGCCUGUUUUGCAAAUUCCCAUAGCACCUCUUCAAGAGCCUUCAACACUUUCAAGGGAUAUUUCGGUUUACACCG
RNAcentral lists this long non-coding RNA (353 nucleotides) under Brassica napus (rape). Its description in RNAcentral is "long non-coding RNA (BNAP_LNC020861)". The record is from RNAcentral. Lineage: Eukaryota; Viridiplantae; Streptophyta; Magnoliopsida; Brassicales; Brassicaceae.